This 645-nucleotide ribosomal RNA is filed under the name uncultured delta proteobacterium. Its description in RNAcentral is "bacterial SSU rRNA". It matches the Rfam family "Bacterial small subunit ribosomal RNA", at positions 41 to 671 of the family's 1533-position model. The record is from RNAcentral. Lineage: Bacteria; Deltaproteobacteria.
GGCGUGCUUAACACAUGCAAGUCGAACGCGAAAUUUUUUCUUCGGAAGAAAGAGUAGAGUGGCGCACGGGUGAGUAACGCGUAAGUAAUCUACCCUGGCAUUUGGGAUAACCCACCGAAAGGUGGGCUAAUACCGGAUACGUUGGAAAUAUCCAAGAAAGGUGGCCUCUGAUUUAAGCUACUGUGCUGGGAGGAGCUUGCGUACCAUUAGCUAGUUGGUAGGGUAAAGGCCUACCAAGGCGACGAUGGUUAGCGGGUCUGAGAGGAUGAUCCGCCACACUGGAACUGGAACACGGACCAGACUCCUACGGGAGGCAGCAGUGAGGAAUAUUGCGCAAUGGGGGAAACCCUGACGCAGCGACGCCGCGUGGAUGAUGAAGGCCUUCGGGUCGUAAAAUCCUGUCAGAUGGAAAGAAAUGUAGGUGUGCUAAUAUCGCAUCUAUUUGACGGUACCAUCAAAGGAAGCACCGACUAACUCCGUGCCAGCAGCCGCGGUAAUACGGAGGGUGCAAGCGUUGUUCGGAAUUACUGGGCGUAAAGCGCGCGUAGGCGGCUCUAUAAGUCAGAUGUGAAAGUCCACGGCUCAACCGUGGAAGUGCAUUUGAAACUGUCGAGCUUGAGUAUUGGAGGGGGUGGUGGAAUUCCC